GCGCGUCAAGGGCACACCCGUCGAAAGGCGGGGCCGCAAAUCCUCCGGGCUAAAUCCUCCACGGACAUGCUAGCGGGGUUGCCGUA
Molecule: non-coding RNA, 86 nt
Filed under: Azoarcus sp.
Lineage: Bacteria; Pseudomonadati; Pseudomonadota; Betaproteobacteria; Rhodocyclales; Zoogloeaceae
Description: c-di-GMP sequence
Rfam family: c-di-GMP-I riboswitch aptamer
About the family: GEMM was predicted in a large-scale screen for bacterial structured RNA regulatory elements. Genes associated with GEMM are involved in a diverse array of functions, including chemotaxis regulation, signal transduction, secretion and chitin.
Source: RNAcentral